Molecule: long non-coding RNA, 2398 nt
Organism: Gadus macrocephalus (Pacific cod)
Lineage: Eukaryota; Metazoa; Chordata; Actinopteri; Gadiformes; Gadidae
Exons: 7
Source: RefSeq, a predicted model, not a curated record
UACCCUGAAUAAUAUCGAUAGUUGUAAAAUGUAGACAGGGUUUUGUAUUGAAUGAUUUUAGGUUUAAAGUUGUUGUGGGACGUACAUGGUAGUUUGGUUCUUCGUACGGUUUUGAGUGAUAUAACUUGUACACACUGGGUGCAUAAUAAUGUAAAGGUACACUGAAUAGUAGUAAUCACCAACAGCAACAAAUAGAUCUCCACAAGGUAAGUCUGUUGGCUGUAUUUUAAUGAAGACCAUCGCUGGACUUCAGGAUCUUCCUCCGUUCAGCUCAAGGUGAGGCGCUGGUUAUGUUUUUUCUUUGGUUGGUUCCGGCCGGAAUGUUCGGAUUCCGGUCGGACGGUUUGUGCUUCCCGCCGUGGAAGGUUCUGAGUGCGGUCACUUGAUUUAGUCCCAAUGGUUAGCAUAGAAUGUUGUAGUCUUGACAACCAUAAGAAACUACCUGGCAGUUAGUUGGACAGGAGUCCCCUGAGGGAGUCUGGCGGAACGUUCUGGAUUGUAUUUGCGUGACCUCGAGCCGUUGCCAACGGAAACUAUUUUUUCAGUCGUUUCCAUUGGGAAUUGUUCCCUUAUCUUAAGCAACUUAAGUUUGAUAUUAAAUACAUACUGACACGUACGUCGUACAAUAUGUUGAUAAUUUCCGAUGGUUGCGGCGUACUUAUAACCACGAUGACGUGACGGGACUCUCGCUGCGUACAAAACGGCGUUCUACUUGCGGGCCCAUUUUUGACAUCAGUGAAGGCUGAAGAUCAUUUCAAGGUGGAAGACAAUUUGACAUUUCUUCAACGGAACCUAGCACCUGAAUAUGGCAGAGUAUAUUUGAUUUAAUAUUGAUACUGCUUAGUGUUCUUUGUUACUUCAGCUUUUGUACGUUCUAAAUAUCUGCUGUCAUUAAUUGCCACAGAAGUUAAACCCUACCCAAUGGAAUGACGUUAAACAAUGACUUUGGUGCAGAGUUACCAACUGGAUAAUAUCAAAGCUAAAAUAAUGGCCGUCCUUCCCACAUGUUACAAAUGAAGAUACUCUAGAACUGUACAAUCUUAAAAAGGUAACAUGUAGUUUGUCCCAAGGUGUCUGCCUCCUCACCCAGAGCAAGACCUCCAUCUCCUUACCCAGAGCCAGACCUCCACCUCCUCAGCCAGAGCCAGACCUCCACCUCCUCAGCCAGAGCCAGACCUCCACCUCCUCAGCCAGAGCCAGACCUCCACCUCCUCACCCAGAGCCAGACCUCCACCUCCUGUCAGAAGUCCUCCAGAACAGCUGAAAGGCGAGGCUGAGAGGCUGGGGACCGGAGGCUUGUGGUGCCAGGAUGGACCGGAGACUGAGGCUGGAGACCAGGGGCCUGCAGCACCGGACCAGAGGACCAGGAAUCCAUGGCUGAAGGAGCUGAUGAAGGAGCUGAUGGAGGAGCCGUGCUGCUGAUGGAGGAGCCGUGCUGGAGGAGCUGAUGGAGGAGCCGAGCUGAUGGAGGAGCCGUGCUGAAGGAGCUGAUGGAGGAGUCGUGUUGAAGGCCCUGCCUGGUGGAGGUUGUCUGUCGUGGGACCAGGACUCUGUCUGAGGAGAGCUGCUGGAGGAGCUGAGACGCUGGAGGACGACUAGGAAUCGCCCAACAAGGAUUCCUCAACGUGUUUCUGGAGCGGAGGCGAGUUGGUAGGGGAGCCGUGAAUCUGGAGGAUGACCAUCACUCUACCAACAAGGAUUACGUUAGGGCCAGACUUGCGCUGUUUGUUCCAGACCAGGACUCUGGCUGAGGAGAGCUGUUGUUACGUGCCAUUAGAGCCCAACUACUCCUGUGUUUGCUACCUUACAUUAGAGACAAACUACUACUGUGUUUGUUACCUUACAUUAGAGACGAAUUACGUUUGUAACCAGACCAGAAAUCUGGAGGACUGAUGGGGAAGACGUACAUCUGGAAGGCAAAUCCUGAGGACGAUCAGGACUCUACCAUCAAGGAUUCCUCGUAAACACACCUGAGCUGAACCUCACCUGAUCCUGUUUGGUCGGGGGUAGAAUCACCUGAGCUGAACCCGCCCUGAUCCUGACAUCCUGCAGGUCCCGUCUCCUCAGUUCAUCUGCGCCUCGCCUCCAGAAGACUUGCUGAGCUCAGCGGUCUGAGGCGGAUCAAUGACCUCCAGUGGGAGUGAUCUUCUUGACCCCACAUGUAACCGUGUGCUUCCACACGCCUUUCCCUCACGUCUGUCACUAACCUCACUCCUUCACUACUCUCUACUGCUUCCUCUUCUUCUUCCUUCUCUGUGGUUCGAACCUUUACACUGAAGGCGCGUCUUCCUGCCCUCAGAGGGUUCAGCGUUAGGGUUGAGAGUCAGGGUUUAGAGUCAGGGACAGAGCUGGUCAGGGAGGACUGCUUUACACAAACCUCUUCACUUGCUUUCGGAAU